This is a long non-coding RNA of Sorghum bicolor (sorghum), 798 nucleotides long. RefSeq lists it as uncharacterized. The transcript has 3 exons. NCBI's taxonomy places the organism in Eukaryota, Viridiplantae, Streptophyta, Magnoliopsida, Poales, Poaceae. The record is from RefSeq and is a predicted model, not a curated record.
UUUUUUCGAGCCGCCGUUCGUAGCGCCGCAGAUCCAUCGUCGAAGUUUUGGAUCUCGUUUCCGGCGAACUUUUCCGGCGAACCUUCGGCGAGAGUUUCCGGCCAUCUCCGGCAUCCUCCACGAAAACCGUCACCAUCCCGAGGGCCGCGACCCCCUCAGUGAGGCACACCUGCAGGUCCUAUCAGCGCCACCAUACUGUGCCCUCUGCCCGCUCCUCUUCGCACGCGCGCCUACUAGUAAGAGCAGGAUUGGCUGCUGCCGCUCCUCUGCAGACCGACACCCUACUGCGAACCACGUCCUGGCCACGGGCCUCAAGCUUGGUGUCGCGCCGCCGUGGCCUUGCACUGCUGUGGCGUGCGUUCGACUGGCCAGGCCCCUCCCCUUCUCUGCGUUGUGCAGCAGCAGCACCCCCAUCGCCAUCAGGGCCACCAUGUUCACGUCAAGAUGAAGAAGAGGACAGAGAAGAAGCGUGGUUCGUCAGCAGUGAAGACUAGGAGCUAAGGACCGACGGUCGAAGCAGAAGUUGGAGAUCAGAAGAAAGAAGCCAAAGAAUUCUGAGCAGAUAUACACUGGAAAAUAAAGGCAAGUGCAGACACCGUUUGAUCAUUUUGAACCUACUCAUUAAUGUCAUUUACUUUACAUGCAUGUGUCCAAUGAAUGCAAACCCUAAGGACAUGACUAGCUUUACUUACCAUUCCUUGUUCACCUAGGGUUAUGUAUGUGGGUAGUGUAGGCUAUACUAGGUUUGCUUAGCUACUCUACUCAUCUUACACACAUGCUUAAACAAGAAUUACUCUC